GCAUGGUCUGGGACACUGGCAAACAGAUG
This 29-nucleotide non-coding RNA is filed under the name Cricetulus griseus (Chinese hamster). The record is from RNAcentral. Lineage: Eukaryota; Metazoa; Chordata; Mammalia; Rodentia; Cricetidae.